AUAAAUUGAGAGUUUGAUCCUGGCUCAGGACGAACGCUGGCGGCGUGCCUAAUACAUGCAAGUCGAACGAGAAUUUCUUACACCGAGUGCUUGCACUCACCGUAAGAAAUUCGAGUGGCGGACGGGUGAGUAACACGUGGGUAACCUGCCCAAAAGAAGGGGAUAACAUUUGGAAACAAAUGCUAAUACCGUAUAACCAUGAUGACCGCAUGGUCAUUAUGUGAAAGGUGGUUUUGCUAUCGCUUUUGGAUGGACCCGCGGCGUAUUAACUAGUUGGUAGGGUAACGGCCUACCAAGGUAAUGAUACGUAGCCGAGUUGAGAGACUGAUCGGCCACAAUGGGACUGAGACACGGCCCAUACUCCUACGGGAGGCAGCAGUAGGGAAUCUUCCACAAUGGGCG
Molecule: ribosomal RNA, 402 nt
Filed under: Ligilactobacillus aviarius
Lineage: Bacteria; Bacillati; Bacillota; Bacilli; Lactobacillales; Lactobacillaceae
Description: bacterial SSU rRNA
Rfam family: Bacterial small subunit ribosomal RNA
Source: RNAcentral